UGGGGAAUAUUGCACAAUGGGCGCAAGCCUGAUGCAGCCAUGCCGCGUGUAUGAAGAAGGCCUUCGGGUUGUAAAGUACUUUCAGCGGGGAGGAAGGCGUUGAGGUUAAUAACCUCAGCGAUUGACGUUACCCGCAGAAGAAGCACCGGCUAACUCCGUGCCAGCAGCCGCGGUAAUACGGAGGGUGCAAGCGUUAAUCGGAAUUACUGGGCGUAAAGCGCACGCAGGCGGUCUGUCAAGUCGGAUGUGAAAUCCCCGGGCUCAACCUGGGAACUGCAUUCGAAACUGGCAGGCUAGAGUCUUGUAGAGGGGGGUAGAAUUCCAGGUGUAGCGGUGAAAUGCGUAGAGAUCUGGAGGAAUACCGGUGGCGAAGGCGGCCCCCUGGACAAAGACUGACGCUCAGGUGCGAAAGCGUGGGAUGCAGCAGGGCUACCCU
Molecule: ribosomal RNA, 436 nt
Filed under: uncultured Enterobacter sp.
Lineage: Bacteria; Pseudomonadati; Pseudomonadota; Gammaproteobacteria; Enterobacterales; Enterobacteriaceae
Description: bacterial SSU rRNA
Rfam family: Bacterial small subunit ribosomal RNA
Source: RNAcentral